RNAcentral lists this long non-coding RNA (297 nucleotides) under Prunus dulcis (almond). Its description in RNAcentral is "sRNA ncRNA". Lineage: Eukaryota; Viridiplantae; Streptophyta; Magnoliopsida; Rosales; Rosaceae. The record is from RNAcentral.
ACUUGCCAUUUCAGCCAUCGAAAGAUCACUUUGUGGACAAUCCAUAGAGACUUGGACUAGAAGACUAAGGGUUUGGUGUGAAGAUUCUUCUCUUCUUGAUUCCGAAACCGAUUUCCUUGGUUGCUUCCAAAGCAACUUAGAUGCGUUGGGUAAAAAAGACCCAGCAUCAGGGAAUGUUUCAUAGACCUUGGUUCAUUUCCUGAAAAUCAAAGAAUCCAUGUGGCUAACCUCAUUGAUAUAUGGACAGAGUUAUAUGAUCAAGAUGAAGACACUCUACCCAUUGCGGACCUCCACAAA